Molecule: unclassified non-coding RNA, 148 nt
Filed under: uncultured Leotiomycetes
Lineage: Eukaryota; Fungi; Ascomycota; Leotiomycetes
Description: sequence contains ITS2
Source: RNAcentral
CAACCCUCAAGCUCUGCUUGGUAUUGGGCCUCCGCCUCCCCGGCGGGCCUUGAAAUCAGUGGCGGUGUCAUCUGACUCUAAGCGUAGUAAAUUAUUCUCGCUCCGGAGCUUCGGGUGGUUACUUGCCAGUGAACCCCAAAUUUUUAAA